Nymphaea colorata (pocket water lily) is the source of this 1148-nucleotide long non-coding RNA. RefSeq lists it as uncharacterized. The record is from RefSeq and is a predicted model, not a curated record. The transcript has 4 exons. NCBI's taxonomy places the organism in Eukaryota, Viridiplantae, Streptophyta, Magnoliopsida, Nymphaeales, Nymphaeaceae.
AGCUCCUUUGAGAUGGAGUUGAGCAACCAGGAUAAAACCAUGUGAUUGCAUCUUCUCCACGGAAUGAAGUGUGGUGAGUUUAAGUUCGGCUAAGGUAGACUGCCAUCGACAAAUGAAAGCUUGUUUUUCGCAGAUAAGGCCAUAACCAUAGCGUGACUCCACAUCAUGAAGUUGUCGCCUGUGAGAACUUGGGAGACCAGCACCGCUCCUAGGUUGUCAGAGUGGUGAAGGAAAAAGGGGUUUAAGCUGUCCACUAUGCCGUGAUCAAAAUGAGGUGCAGGUUCAGACGAUGAAGAAUUUGGGGUAUUCACCUAGUGGGAUUUCUACAGGUCCGUGUGAAGUCAUGGCUCUGAUACCAUGUGACAGGAGCUUGAAAAAUGGUGGAAAACAGGGUAUGUGCUUAGGAAUACGGAGCAGAGCAAAGGAAGCUGCAGAAGAGUUGGCUCCUCGUUGGAGAUAUCAGGUUGUUUUUUUCAUUUCACUAAGGUGUAUGUUUCAAUUUUAAUUGUCAAGAUCAUAGUCGUGAAUCAGACUUCCUAUACCCUAUGUUGUAGCUCCCUGAUGCCCCUACAUUGUAUAGAAUUGCAACUGCAGCAGGCCGGAUGCAAUAUGAAGAGUAGAGGCUUCCAUUCAAAGGAUUGCCAUGAUCAGUAGUUUUUUUAAAGUUAUGCUCGAAACCAGCAUUUCCAUUGUAUAAGUCUAUGAAAACCUUGGCCAUAUCCAACCGACGAUGAGGUAAGAAUGUGGAAAAUAUAAAAAAACUGGGUCUGAAAGUUUCUUCUUAUUUUGCAGGUAUUGGUAUCAACUGGGUCUCUUCAGCAUUAUUUUAGGGCUCCCUUGACAUUUGCAUGAAAAGUCUAGGCACCAAAAAGUGGGGGAGAAGCCUCUUCUUUCCAUUUCAACUUUUGUGCAACUAAUUUCUUUAUUCAUGGACAUCUUAGUGUAAAAGGGCCCAGUUUAGAAUAGCUUCAUGUGCCACAAACUCCAGCUAUAAGGGAAUGAUAGAGGGAAGACACCAGGGACUGGUCAUUGGUGGUUAAUUUUUAGCAAUUCCAGAUCCAUUUUCUUAGGUGAAGAAUGUAUAGGGGAUGGCAAUGGCUUUGUAAUUUCUGUUAGGAAUGUAAUUUUAUUAGGAAUUUCUUUUAUGU